RNAcentral lists this ribosomal RNA (848 nucleotides) under uncultured bacterium. RNAcentral's name for it is "bacterial SSU rRNA". It matches the Rfam family "Bacterial small subunit ribosomal RNA", at positions 100 to 960 of the family's 1533-position model. The record is from RNAcentral.
GAACGGGUGAGUAACACGUGGGUGAUCUGCCCUGCACUUUGGGAUAAGCCUGGGAAACUGGGUCUAAUACCGAAUAUGACCAUGCGCCUCCUGGUGUGUGGUGGAAAGCUUUUGCGNNNNNNNNNGGGCCCGCGGCCUAUCAGCUUGUUGGUGGGGUAAUGNCCUACCAAGGCGACGACGGGUAGCCGGCCUGAGAGGGUGACCGGCCACACUGGGACUGAGAUACGGCCCAGACUCCUACGGGAGGCAGCAGUGGGGAAUAUUGCACAAUGGGCGCAAGCCUGAUGCAGCGACGCCGCGUGAGGGAUGACGGCCUUCGGGUUGUAAACCUCUUUCAGCACAGACGAAGCGCAAGUGACGGUAUGUGCAGAAGAAGGACCGGCCAACUACGUGCCAGCAGCCGCGGUAAUACGUAGGGUCCGAGUGUUGUCCGGAAUUACUGGGCGUAAAGAGCUCGUAGGUGGUUUGUCGCGUUGUUCGUGAAAACUCACAGCUUAACUGUGGGCGUGCGGGCGAUACGGGCAGACUUGAGUACUGCAGGGGAGACUGGAAUUCCUGGUGUAGCGGUGGAAUGCGCAGAUAUCAGGAGGAACACCGGUGGCGAAGGCGGGUCUCUGGGCAGUAACUGACGCUGAGGAGCGAAAGCGUGGGGAGCGAACAGGAUUAGAUACCCUGGUAGUCCACGCCGUAAACGGUGGGUACUAGGUGUGGGUUUCCUUCCUUGGGAUCCGUGCCGUAGCUAACGCAUUAAGUACCCCGCCUGGGGAGUACGGCCGCAAGGCUAAAACUCAAAGAAAUUGACGGGGGCCCGCACAAGCGGCGGAGCAUGUGGAUUAAUUCGAUGCAAC